This 503-nucleotide ribosomal RNA is filed under the name uncultured bacterium. Its description in RNAcentral is "partial 16S ribosomal RNA". It matches the Rfam family "Bacterial small subunit ribosomal RNA", at positions 30 to 523 of the family's 1533-position model. The record is from RNAcentral.
AUUGAACGCUGGCGGCAGGCUUAACACAUGCGAGUCGAGCGGGGUGAUGGUGCUUGCACUAUCACUUAGCGGCGGACGGGUGAGUAAUGCUUAGGAAUCUGCCUAUUAGUGGGGGACAACAUCUCGAAAGGGAUGCUAAUACCGCAUACGUCCUACGGGAGAAAGCAGGGGAUCACUUGUGACCUUGCGCUAAUAGAUGAGCCUAAGUCGGAUUAGCUAGUUGGUGGGGUAAAGGCCUACCAAGGCGACGAUCUGUAGCGGGUCUGAGGGGAUGAUCCGCCCCACUGGGACUGGGACACGGCCCAGACUCCUACGGGAGGCAGCAGUGGGGAAUAUUGGACAAUGGGGGGAACCCUGAUCCAGCCAUGCCGCGUGUGUGAAGAAGGCCUUAUGGUUGUAAAGCACUUUAAGCGAGGAGGAGGCUCUUUUGGUUAAUACCCAAGAUGAGUGGACGUUACUCGCAGAAUAAGCACCGGCUAACUCUGUGCCAGCAGCCGCGGUAA